This 501-nucleotide ribosomal RNA is filed under the name uncultured bacterium. Its description in RNAcentral is "bacterial SSU rRNA". It matches the Rfam family "Bacterial small subunit ribosomal RNA", at positions 15 to 518 of the family's 1533-position model. The record is from RNAcentral.
GAUCAUGGCUCAGGAUGAACGCUGGCGGCGUGCUUAACACAUGCAAGUCGAACGGAGUUUUAACGGAAGUUUCGGAUGGAAGUUUAAGAACUUAGUGGCGGACGGGUGAGUAACGCGUGGGUAACCUGCCUCAGUACAGGGGGAUAACAGUUAGAAAUGACUGCUAACACCGCAUAAUAUAGUGAAACCGCAUGAUUUUGCUAUCAAAUAUUUAUAGGUAUGAGAUGGGCCCGCGUCUGAUUAGCUAGUUGUGGGGUAAAAGCCUACCAAGGCGACGAUCAGUAGCCGGCUUGAGAGAGUGACCGGCCACAUUGGGACUGAGACACGGCCCAAACUCCUACGGGAGGCAGCAGUGGGGAAUAUUGGACAAUGGGGGAAACCCUGAUCCAGCGAACCGCCGCGUGAGUGAAGAAGUAUUUCGGUAUGUAAAGCUCUAUCAGCAGGGAAGAUAAUGACAGUACCUGACUAAGAAGCCCCGGCUAACUACGUGCCAGCCGCUGC